UCCUACGGGGGGCAGCAGUGGGGAAUAUUGCACAAUGGGGGGAACCCCGAUGCAGCAACGCCGCGUGAGUGAAGAAGUAUUUCGGUAUGUAAAGCUCUAUCAGCAGGGAAGAAAAUGACGGUACCUGACUAAGAAGCUCCGGCUAAAUACGUGCCAGCAGCCGCGGUAAUACGUAUGGAGCAAGCGUUAUCCGGAUUUACUGGGUGUAAAGGGAGCGUAGACGGCUGUGCAAGUCUGGAGUGAAAGGCGGGGGCCCAACCCCCGGAAUGCUCUGGA
RNAcentral lists this ribosomal RNA (276 nucleotides) under uncultured bacterium. RNAcentral's name for it is "partial 16S ribosomal RNA". It matches the Rfam family "Bacterial small subunit ribosomal RNA", at positions 337 to 630 of the family's 1533-position model. The record is from RNAcentral.